CAAGGAGAACAGCUACAUCAUGAUCAUUUCUUUCCCUAUUAGGUUAUGGCCAGCUGCUUCUUUAAGAAAAAAAAAAAAAAAAAAAGGACUCUAUUAGACUCUGUAUUAAUGUAGGUUUUAGUUAAUAUUUUCCCCAAAUCUGAGCCACGUGUUCCCAUUAGGGUGCCAUGAAGGGAGAGAUCAUCAUAAAACACAUACCUGGAGGCUGGGGCAGCCACGCCCACCAUCUCGAAGGAGAGGCAUUAGUGGUGGUUAAUCACCUGUAAGGGUGCCUUCGUUCCUUUGCAGCUGCUGCUCCUUUUCCUAACAGCCGCACUCAUGCUUGGAGGCGUUCUUAAAGGUCAGCUGUUCCUCCCUCAGCAGCUUAAAAUUUCCACCACCCAUGGUCAGUUGUGUUUCCCCCCCGCCCCGCCGCAAAACUACUAUGGCCGCCCUUGAGCCAGACUACCUGUCCACCGCCCGCAGGGUAAAAAGUGUGGUAGGACAACUGCCGAAGGUCUGGACCCAUGAGCUAGUGCUGCUGUAAUGUUUUCGAGCUUGGAAAAAGUGCAGCAGCUCUGACAUAAGGGAAGAAAACUCUAGCCACAAAGGUCAAGGUAUGAUUAUGCCAAUGGGUGGCUAAGGGCAAGUCAAAGAAAGAGUUUUUUGAGCACUGGCGGUCAAGAAGUGUGUGUGGAGUAGCUAUUCAUCCUGGAAACUGUCAUUCUGGCAUCUGUUGCCUCCUUGCGGAGAUCGCUACACAGGAAGACUGCAAAGCACGAGCUGACACCGCUGAGGGCAGCAGAAGCCUAUGCUUGGGCCAUCAAGUCUAAUCUGCUGAGACUUUCAAUCAAAACUGUGGCACAGUCAUUAGGACCUCAACAAAGCCACUUGAGUUUGAUUCAGAAGCACAUUAAUAAAGUAAGGCUGAGAAACAGGAAAGUAGUGUGGUUGGCAUCCCAGAAAAUCGAUAACCAACAUUUGUAGGGGCUUUGAGGAGUGUGUACUUCGAGCAAGAGGCAAUCUUUGGUUGGAAAAGUCAGCAUUUCUAUCACCUCCUGGAGGCAGUUUGACAUUCCUCAUCUGGAACAGAAUGUUAUCCACUGAGAUGUGUUCCUUCCCACCUCCCCACUAUAAAGGUUGUUGUCAUUGUAAGUCAGAGGAAGACUGGAGAUCCAGAACUUGAGGGGGCCGCCAACGCCUACAUCCGGUGCAGGAUCAGGUCAGGUAAUCAUUCCUGCCUCAUAUUCUAGUGCUCUGCUUUGUUUGAGACAUUGCAUUGAUUGGAGGCAGGGUUGCAUUUUUCUCUUGGGAGUUGGAAAGGGCAGGGUUUAAAACCUAGCUAUGUCCAUUUCCAUGUGAGCCUGAAGAGGUUGUUGAACCUUUUCAAGCCUCCAUUUUGUCACCUGUAAAAUGGAGGUUUUGUACUUACUCUUUGGAUUGAUGAGAUGAGUAAUGUGCUUAGCAUACACUAAGGGGUUAAUAAACGGUAGCCAUAAUUAUAAUAGUUACUACCCAUGUGUUCACUUUCACCCGAGUCAGAUUUGAUAAGAGAAACCAAUACGUGCCACACAGCAUAAUAUUUUGCAAAAUAUUUAGAAAUUCCCCAAACUGUUACUACUCAUGUUUUCAAUGUAUCUCAACCAUAAUCCUCUUCAAGUCCUUCUAGUUGUCAAAACAGCCUGAUUAAACAGUGGGAAUUUGAUACUAUGCUUGUUUUGCCUCAUUAGCACAACAGUGUGAACAGGGACGGGGUGGGGGGGCACCUGAGAGGGGGUGUCGGAGCAGAACGGCUAAGUAGGAAAACUAGUGGCCUCAGAAUGUAGACCGUAUUCUCAGGAACUGUUCUCAUAAUUUAUUCCUGCUCAGAUUGAAGGAAAACAGGAUGUGGCAUUUGUUUUCAAAUAGAAAACUGGAUGUAAACGGCAUGACUUUUACAAACUUUGCAGUUUUCUGAGACCACGGGAUGAAGUACUGAGACUGGCUACCUUAGACACGAGGAGGAUUAAACAGGGAUUCCUUGCAGCUCUGUGCUCAUCCAAUAAGGGGGCUACAGGAGAAAGCAAAAGCAAACAGCAAAACACUAAGUGGAGAAGGAUUCUUUUGGCUUCCUGAGUUACCUGCAUCCUUUUGCAAGGCUGAGUCAGUAUCCCUAGUCCUACUGGCAUUUGUACAAUUUCUUCAAGUUCACAGCUCUCUCUCACUUACUGUCUUUAAGUCACAUAUAUUAGGGUUCAUGUAUUCAAACAAGAAUGCCGUAACUACACGAGUUAGACUGGGAGCGGAGAGCCCUGGAGCAGAACCACCCUGGUGGAAAGCAUGAGAUCUGGCAGCCGUCCAGUGAGGAGCCUGGAAUGACAGAGGAAGAUAUAUUUGUACACCACACUGCCGUGAACAAGAAGGAACCCAGGAAGUGCCUUUGCGGUGUGGGAGGAGAGGUGAUGGGGUUUGACGUUCACGAAGGGGAGAGCCUGAGGAGACAGCAAAUGUGGCAGGCCCUGGAGGUGGAGCUCCAGGACAAGGGAGGAAAAUACCCAACAGCAGCCCCUAACCAUUACGGAUGCCGUCCAGGUCGCAGGGGUCCACCCGCAGUUCCCGCCAGAACCGCCGGCAGGGUCAGAGUGGGGAAAGGAGGAUGCGUGGGGAGAGCCCUCCGAGGCCAGGAGCCCUCAGCACUGCAGGACUCAGCUCGCACGUGGCCACAGGUGCAGAGCCGAGAGGUGGCAACCACCUCGGGUGCAGGGAGAAGUGCUGGAGGGCACCAUACCUGGGUGCCGAAGAACAAGGUAGACCAGUGAGACAGUUUGUAUGGCAGUUACAGACCACCAUGCUGCUGGGGGCCCUCCCACCUCAGACUGCCUAGAGAAGACAAGGAAAGUGAAUGAGAUGAGACCCAAGGUCAGCAGCCACCUCAGCGCUGGUCACAGAUGCCCAGAAAACCCUCAACCACACUAUGUCUGGAACACAAAAGCAGCCCAGCUGAGGAUUUGUCUGGUCCCGAGGUAGAGCAGGGCGGGGCCGAGUAAAUGCGACCUACAUCUCUACCAUCAUCCUGUCUAGUCAUCCAACAAGAAGAAAUGAAUUUGAAAUUCCAGUAACGAGAAAACGGUGCCAAAGAUCAGAAGUGCUUGCUUUUUUUUUUGCUCACUGACCAGAUAAACGAGAACUACCUGUAUUAUCUGUGCAGCAUGGGGUUUUUAUUUUGACCUUAAAGACAUCUCUUUUUGGUAAUGACAGAUACUUUUUCUUCUCUCUCUCUCUUUUAAAGUCUGGCUUUUCUCAACACACCUUGAAAGGGUUUUAAUUGCUUCAUAUCUGGUCAAGGGGAGACUUUUAAGAACCUCAUUUUUAAUUUGUAAUAAAAGUUUAGAACUUGAUUUUUUUCAAAAAAGUCAACAAACAGCAAUCACCUGUUAAUAAAGGUCUUAAGAAAAACAAGAGUAUUAUAGAUAAGCUAUUGUUUCUAUGAAUUUCUUGCUACUAGUGGGGAAGGUACACAUCUACCCUGUUGUGUAAAAGAUUUCACAAAGCCAAAUGCUUGCAUCUUAGGAAAGCAAAAGAACUGAGCUGGCUUUCUCUAAAACAAAUAAAGCAAAACAAACUAUGCUGGUUUUUACUCAAUACCUUUUCUAGUCUGAUCUGCUCCCACGAUGUCUUGGGGAAAUUCAGACAUACAGCCAAGAAAAGGUGAAGGAGAUAUGGGCUUCCAGCCUCAGACUGGAGACACUCUCUUACUGCAUGGGGGUUAUUUAUUCUCACUAGGUUCACUAUGUUUGUGUAUAAAAGAAAGACUGAUUGAAAAGAUGAUCUACUCUG
Molecule: long non-coding RNA, 3795 nt
Organism: Leopardus geoffroyi (Geoffroy's cat)
Lineage: Eukaryota; Metazoa; Chordata; Mammalia; Carnivora; Felidae
Exons: 6
Source: RefSeq, a predicted model, not a curated record